UAGCCGUAAACGAUACUCGCUAGGUGUCGGCCACGGUGCGACCGUUGUCGGUGCCGUAGGGAAGCCGUGAAGCGAGCCACCUGGGAAGUACGGCCGCAAGGCUGAAACUUAAAGGAAUUGGCGGGGGAGGCACAACAACGGGUGGAGCUUGCGGUUUAAUUGGAUUCAACACCGGAAAUCUUACCGGGACCGACAGCAACAUGAAGGCCAAGCUGAAGACUUUGCCGGAUUAGCUGAGAGGAGGUGCAUGGCGUAGUCGUGU
RNAcentral lists this ribosomal RNA (262 nucleotides) under uncultured archaeon. RNAcentral's name for it is "partial 16S ribosomal RNA". It matches the Rfam family "Archaeal small subunit ribosomal RNA", at positions 748 to 1009 of the family's 1478-position model. The record is from RNAcentral.